AGUGAACGCUGGCGGCGUGCUUAACACAUGCAAGUCGAACGAGAACGGAAUAUAGCUUGCUAUAUUUGUCAGCUAAGUGGCGCACGGGUGAGUAAUGUAUAGAUAACCUGCCCUUAAGAAAGGAAUAACAGUUGGAAACGACUGCUAAUGCCCUAUAUGCCUUUAAUACAUAAGUAUGCAAGGGAAACGCUUUAGUGCUUAAGGAUGGGUCUGUAUGGUAUCAGCUUGUUGGUGAGGUAAUGGCUCACCAAGGCUAUGACGCCUAACUGGUUUGAGAGGAUGAUCAGUCACACUGGAACUGAGACACGGUCCAGACUCCUACGGGAGGCAGCAGUGGGGAAUAUUGCACAAUGGACGAAAGUCUGAUGCAGCAACGCCGCGUGGAGGAUGACACAUUUCGGUGCGUAAACUCCUUUUAUAUAGGAAAAUAAUGACGGUACUAUAAGAAUAAGCACCGGCUAACUUCGUGCCAGCAGCCGCGGUAA
Molecule: ribosomal RNA, 485 nt
Filed under: uncultured bacterium
Lineage: Bacteria
Description: partial 16S ribosomal RNA
Rfam family: Bacterial small subunit ribosomal RNA
Source: RNAcentral